RNAcentral lists this ribosomal RNA (441 nucleotides) under uncultured bacterium. RNAcentral's name for it is "bacterial SSU rRNA". It matches the Rfam family "Bacterial small subunit ribosomal RNA", at positions 29 to 477 of the family's 1533-position model. The record is from RNAcentral.
AUUGAACGCUGGCGGAAUGCUUUACACAUGCAAGUCGAGCGGCAGCGCGGGGGCAACCCUGGCGGCGAGCGGCGAACGGGUGAGUAACAUAUCGGAACGUACCCAGUCGUGGGGGAUAACUAUCCGAAAGGAUAGCUAAUACCGCAUACGUCCUGAGGGAGAAAGCGGGGGAUCGCAAGACCUCGCGCGAUUGGAGCGGCCGAUAUCGGAUUAGCUAGUUGGUGGGGUAAAGGCUCACCAAGGCGACGAUCCGUAGCGGGUCUGAGAGGACGACCCGCCACACUGGAACUGAGACACGGUCCAGACUCCUACGGGAGGCAGCAGUGGGGAAUUUUGGACAAUGGGGGCAACCCUGAUCCAGCCAUUCCGCGUGAGUGAAGAAGGCCUCGGUUGUAAGACUCUGUGGAGGGAGGACGGAAUAAGGACGUGGCGAACGACCCA